GAGGACGACGCGAUUAUAUUAUUACCGUUGCACACAGCCGCGUCCGUCUCGAUUAAACACACUGCACAUCUGUAGCGAAAUCUUUGAGUACAAUACGCGUUCGAAAGGGACCCGUACACCGACAUUUUCGCUGUCUGUCUCGCGUUUAAUAUCGUGUAUGACAACAAAAGCGUUCCGCCGUACUUACUCGCGUGACUCACCGGUUGAGUUUAUUAAUCGCACAUUCCUCUACGGCUGGACCGCGUGAUAUUUUUCUUUGUUGUUGAGACUACACCUAAAUUCAACUUGUUUAAAGUUCGACUUCCCGAAG
Molecule: non-coding RNA, 310 nt
Organism: Cinara cedri
Lineage: Eukaryota; Metazoa; Arthropoda; Insecta; Hemiptera; Aphididae
Source: the annotation of a GenBank genome assembly